CAGCCGCCACGGGAAUACAGAGGUCCCAAGCGUUGUUCGGAAUCACUGGGCGUAAAGGGUGCGUAGGCGGCGCGGAAAGUCAGGGGUGAAAUCCCGGAGCUCAACUCCGGAACUGCCUUUGAUACUCCCGCGCUUGAGAACUGGAGGGGAGACCGGAAUUCACGGUGGAGCAGUGAAAUGCGUGGAUAUCGUGAGGAACACUAGUGGCGAAGGCGGGUCUCUGGACAGUAUCUGACGCUGAGGCACGAAGGCCAGGGGAGCGAACGGGAUUAGAUACCCCUGUAGUCCCUGUCCUUAUACA
Molecule: ribosomal RNA, 301 nt
Filed under: uncultured bacterium
Lineage: Bacteria
Description: partial 16S ribosomal RNA
Rfam family: Bacterial small subunit ribosomal RNA
Source: RNAcentral